UGGCAGACGGGUGAGGAGCGCGUAUCUGACUGUACUCAGGCUGGGGGAUAGGCGCGCGAAAGGGGGUUGAAUACCGCAUGUGCUCGGUGCUGUGAGGGCAUCGAGGAAAGUUGGCCUCUGCGGGCACGCUGAUGGCCUGAGACAGGGAUGCGUCCUAUUAGCUAGCUGGUGUGGUAAGGGCCUACCAGUGGCGACGAUUGUGGUAGCGUGGUCUGAGACGGAUGAUCAGCCACAACGUGGGGACUGCGACACGUGACCAGACUCCUACGGGAGGCAGCAGUGGGGAAUUUUGCGCAAUGGGCGCAAGCCUGACGCAGCAACGCCGCGUGCAUGACGACGCCUUUCGAGGUGUAAAGUGCUGUCGAGCGGGACGAAGGGGCGAGGGUGAACAGCUUUCGCGCAUGACGGUACCGGUGGAGGAAGCCCCGGCUAACUCCGUGCCAAGCAGCCGCGGUAAGACGGAGGGGGCGAGCGUAGUUCGGAAUUACUGGGCAUAAAGCGCGCGUAGGCGGUGCAGCAAGUGGUGCGUGAUAGCCCUCGGCUUACCCGGGGACGGGCUUGCCAAACUGUUGGACUGGCAUGCCGGAGGGGGAAGCGCAAUUCCCUGGUGGAGCGGUGACCUGCCGUCGAGAUCCGGACCAACGUCGGAUACGAAGGCGGCCUCCUGGACGGACACCGACGCUGAGGUGCGACUGCGUGGGGAACGAACGGGAUUAGAUACCCCGGUAGUCCACGCAGUCAACGAUGGGUACUAGGUCUGGGGCUUCUGAUGAGGCCCGUGCCGGAGCUAACGCAGUAAGUACCCCGCCUGGGGAGUACGCUCGCAAGGCUGAAACUCAAAGGAAUUGACGGGGGCACGCACAAGCGAUGGAGCAUCUGGUUUAAUUCGACGCAACGCGCAGAACCUUACCCAGGUUUGACAUGCACCGGCACAGCGAGGAGAGUCGCUGGCCCGUUUCGGGACGGUGCACAGGUGCUGCAUGGCUGUCGUCAGCUCGUGUCGUGAGAUGUUGGGUUAAGUCCCGCAACGAGCGCAACCCCUGCCCGUAGUUGCCAACAGAUGAUGCUGGGGACUUUACGGGGACUAUCGGUGUGUAACCGGAGGAAGGUGGGGAUGACGUUAAGUCCUCAUGGCCCUUACGCCUGAGGCGACACACAGUGGUACACAUGGGGCGGACAACGGGGGGCGACCAUGCGAGGGGGAGCGUAUCCCUGAAACCGUGUCUCAGUUCGGAUUGGAGUCUGCAACUCGACUCCAUGAAGGUGGAAUCGCUAGUAAUCGCGGAUCAGCACUCCCGCGGUGAUACGUUCCCGGGCCUUGUACACACCGCCCGUCUACACCACGAAAGUUGAUGAUACCCGAAGUCG
RNAcentral lists this ribosomal RNA (1368 nucleotides) under uncultured organism. RNAcentral's name for it is "16S ribosomal RNA". It matches the Rfam family "Bacterial small subunit ribosomal RNA", at positions 96 to 1429 of the family's 1533-position model. The record is from RNAcentral.